This 73-nucleotide transfer RNA is filed under the name Stegodyphus mimosarum. It matches the Rfam family "tRNA". Rfam says of the family: Transfer RNA (tRNA) molecules are approximately 80 nucleotides in length. Their secondary structure includes four short double-helical elements and three loops (D, anti-codon, and T loops). Further hydrogen bonds mediate the characteristic L-shaped molecular structure. tRNAs have two regions of fundamental functional importance: the anti-codon, which is responsible for specific mRNA codon recognition, and the 3' end, to which the tRNAs corresponding amino acid is attached (by aminoacyl-tRNA synthetases). tRNAs cope with the degeneracy of the genetic code in two manners: having more than one tRNA (with a specific anti-codon) for a particular amino acid; and 'wobble' base-pairing, i.e. permitting non-standard base-pairing at the 3rd anti-codon position. Lineage: Eukaryota; Metazoa; Arthropoda; Arachnida; Araneae; Eresidae. The record is from Rfam by way of RNAcentral.
GCCUUCGUGAUGUAAUGGUUAGCAUACUCUACGCGUAAUCGAGAGGCCCGAGGUUCGAGUCCCGGUGAUGGUA